Molecule: long non-coding RNA, 1145 nt
Organism: Cannabis sativa
Lineage: Eukaryota; Viridiplantae; Streptophyta; Magnoliopsida; Rosales; Cannabaceae
Exons: 2
Source: RefSeq, a predicted model, not a curated record
UAUCGCGAUUGACUUGUUCUUCUCUUUCUUCAAACCUACAAACAAACAUAUUGCGAUUCAAACCGAGAACAAGAUUCCUUUUUCUUUUCUCUUAAAUCUAUAUUGAUAUUUCAAUCACUGCAUGAAAUCAAAGACCAUUCUCUCCGAUUCUUGAUCCCCAUUUAUUGUAUUCUUCUUUCUUCUCUACGAUUCAUCGGUGAAGAGAUCGACGAACCGAAUCGGGGUGUUGAGAUGCGAUAGACAGGUAAGGGGGAGAUGGAUAGAGGAUACAAUUCCUUGCUGAAAAGACCAACAAGUCCAAGAUUGCGUCAAUGUGGUGGCCUCCCAUUGGGUGAACGGUGUAAAAGGGAAUUGAAACUUUUAUAUUUAAGAUCUUUUUCCUUUUCCAUCCUAAGGAAAAGACCAAAUAAUCACAAACCCUAAAAAACCUGUAUCUUCCCCUUCCCCUCUCUCUAUUGUUUCUUAUAUCCAUGCUCUGAAGUUUCGACUCAUAGGGUAUGGCUACUGAGAGUGCUUCUCGAUCGAGCUUAGCAGUCGAUUCGUAUAUAGGGAGCUUGAUAUGUUUGACUUCCAAGAGUGAGAUCAGAUAUGGAGGCAUUCUUAAUCUCAAAUUCACACUACCUUUGUCUGUAUAGAAUUUAAGAUCUUGCUUAAAUUUCACACAACAUUCUUAUUAGUAAGUUGUUGCAAGUUUUUAAGUCUCAUAAAAAGGGACUUUUUUGUUUCUCCGUAGAGUUUUCUUAUAUGUAUAUUUCUUUCUGUACUCACUUUGUAAUUUGCUUCAUUAAUGGCAGUACGAUCCUUAGAACAGAAGGAAAGAAAAAGGAUGAUCACACAUUCCACCAAGUGACAAAGUCUAUGAAUAUAUAUUAUUCCCUGGAAGUGAAAUCAAGGAUUUGCAGGUCAAAUCUUCUCCACCCACUCACCCUGCUUAACCUACACCACCAAUUAACAAUGAUCCAGCUAUCAUUCAGAUAGGGGAGAUUGGGAGUGCUUUAGUAAAUGUUUAGAGUUUGGUAUUAAAUUUUUACUAAUUAAAAUUCAUUGCAGCCAACGAUUAUCUUCUAGAACUGUGUGCAAGCUAUCUUGCAAAAAAAUUUGUAUGUGCCAAACUUUUAUUUGCUUAUUACAAGAACUUUAUACUA